AUAUCAGUAAGCGGAGGAAAAGAAACUAACAAGGAUUGCCUCAGUAGCGGCGAGUGAACAGGCAAAAGCUCAAGCUGAAAAUCUACGGUAUAAAGCCGCAGAAUUGUAAUCUAAAGAUCUUUUCGGAAGGUACGGGCCUCGCAUAAGUCUCUUGGAAAAGAGUGUCAAAGAGGGUGAAAACCCCGUGUUUAGCGAGACAUCGACUGUACGAAGGGGAUCAUUGAGUCGGGUUGUUUGGGAAUGCAGCCCUAAAUGGGAGAUAAACUUCUUCUAAGGCUAAAUAUUUAUGGGAGACCGAUAGCGCACAAGUA
RNAcentral lists this ribosomal RNA (311 nucleotides) under uncultured eukaryote. Its description in RNAcentral is "partial large subunit ribosomal RNA". It matches the Rfam family "Eukaryotic large subunit ribosomal RNA", at positions 40 to 350 of the family's 3401-position model. The record is from RNAcentral.